GGGCGCGUCGGGGAGAUCGGUCCGUUCCGCAUUGUCUCGGAAAGUGGCGUCUCUGCGGGCGUCCGGCGGAUCGAAGCCGUCUGCGGUCU
RNAcentral lists this transfer RNA (89 nucleotides) under Gluconobacter kanchanaburiensis NBRC 103587. RNAcentral's name for it is "tRNA-Glu". Lineage: Bacteria; Pseudomonadati; Pseudomonadota; Alphaproteobacteria; Acetobacterales; Acetobacteraceae. The record is from RNAcentral.